CUGGAGGUAUCAGAAGUGCGAAUGCUGACAUAAGUAACGAUAAAGCGGGUGAAAAGCCCGCUCGCCGGAAGACCAAGGGUUCCUGUCCAACGUUAAUCGGGGCAGGGUGAGUCGACCCCUAAGGCGAGGCCGAAAGGCGUAGUCGAUGGGAAACGGGUUAAUAUUCCCGUACUUGGUGUUACUGCGAAGGGGGGACGGAGAAGGCUAUGUUGGCCGGGCGACGGUUGUCCCGGUUUAAGCGUGUAGGCUGGUUUUCCAGGCAAAUCCGGAAAAUCAAGGCUGAGGCGUGACGACGAGGCACUACGGUGCUGAAGCAACAAAUGCCCUGCUUCCAGGAAAAGCCUCUAAGCAUCAGGUAACAUCAAAUCGUACCCCAAACCGACACAGGUGGUCAGGUAGAGAAUACCAAGGCGCUUGAGAGAACUCGGGUGAAGGAACUAGGCAAAAUGGUGCCGUAACUUCGGGAGAAGGCACGCUGACACGUAGGUGAAGUGAUUUACUCAUGGAGCUGAAGUCAGUCGAAGAUACCAGCUGGCUGCAACUGUUUAUUAAAAACACAGCACUGUGCAAACACGAAAGUGGACGUAUACGGUGUGACGCCUGCCCGGUGCCGGAAGGUUAAUUGAUGGGGUCAGCGCAAGCGAAGCUCCUGAUCGAAGCCCCGGUAAACGGCGGCCGUAACUAUAACGGUCCUAAGGUAGCGAAAUUCCUUGUCGGGUAAGUUCCGACCUGCACGAAUGGCGUAAUGAUGGCCAGGCUGUCUCCACCCGAGACUCAGUGAAAUUGAACUCGCUGUGAAGAUGCAGUGUACCCGCGGCAAGACGGAAAGACCCCGUGAACCUUUACUAUAGCUUGACACUGAACAUUGAGCCUUGAUGUGUAGGAUAGGUGGGAGGCUUUGAAGUGUGGACGCCAGUCUGCAUGGAGCCGACCUUGAAAUACCACCCUUUAAUGUUUGAUGUUCUAACGUGGACCCGUGAUCCGGGUUGCGGACAGUGUCUGGUGGGUAGUUUGACUGGGGCGGUCUCCUCCUAAAGAGUAACGGAGGAGCACGAAGGUUGGCUAAUCCUGGUCGGACAUCAGGAGGUUAGUGCAAUGGCAUAAGCCAGCUUGACUGCGAGCGUGACGGCGCGAGCAGGUGCGAAAGCAGGUCAUAGUGAUCCGGUGGUUCUGAAUGGAAGGGCCAUCGCUCAACGGAUAAAAGGUACUCCGGGGAUAACAGGCUGAUACCGCCCAAGAGUUCAUAUCGACGGCGGUGUUUGGCACCUCGAUGUCGGCUCAUCACAUCCUGGGGCUGAAGUAGGUCCCAAGGGUAUGGCUGUUCGCCAUUUAAAGUGGUACGCGAGCUGGGUUUAGAACGUCGUGAGACAGUUCGGUCCCUAUCUGCCGUGGGCGCUGGAGAACUGAGGGGGGCUGCUCCUAGUACGAGAGGACCGGAGUGGACGCAUCACUGGUGUUCGGGUUGUCAUGCCAAUGGCACUGCCCGGUAGCUAAAUGCGGAAGAGAUAAGUGCUGAAAGCAUCUAAGCACGAAACUUGCCCCGAGAUGAGUUCUCCCUGAGACUUAGAGUCUCCUGAAGGAACGUUGAAGACGACGACGUUGAUAGG
This 1607-nucleotide ribosomal RNA is filed under the name Salmonella enterica subsp. enterica serovar Anatum. RNAcentral's name for it is "partial 23S ribosomal RNA". It matches the Rfam family "Bacterial large subunit ribosomal RNA", at positions 1273 to 2860 of the family's 2925-position model. Lineage: Bacteria; Pseudomonadati; Pseudomonadota; Gammaproteobacteria; Enterobacterales; Enterobacteriaceae. The record is from RNAcentral.